This 446-nucleotide ribosomal RNA is filed under the name uncultured bacterium. Its description in RNAcentral is "partial 16S ribosomal RNA". It matches the Rfam family "Bacterial small subunit ribosomal RNA", at positions 330 to 792 of the family's 1533-position model. The record is from RNAcentral.
UCCAGACUCCUACGGGAGGCAGCAGUGGGGGAUAUUGCACAAUGGGGGGAACCCUGAUGCAGCGACGCCGCGUGGGUGAAGGAGCGUUUCGGCGCGCAAAGCCCUAUCGGCAGGGAAGAAGGAGGACGGUACCUGACUAAGAAGCCCCGGCUAACUACGUGCCAGCAGCCGCGGUAAUACGUAGGGGGCAAGCGUUAUCCGGAUUUACUGGGUGUAAAGGGGGCGCAGACGGCAGCGCAAGCCAGGAGUGAAAGCCCGGGGCCCAACCCCGGGACUGCUCUUGGAACUGCGCGGCUGGAGUGCAGGAGGGGCAGGCGGAAUUCCUGGUGUAGCGGUGAAAUGCGUAGAUAUCAGGAGGAACACCGGUGGCGAAGGCGGCCUGCUGGACUGCGACUGACGUUGAGGCCCGAAAGCGUGGGGAGCAAACAGGAUUAGAUACCCUUGUA